UCGAGAAUCUUUCGCAAUGCCCGAAAGGGUGACGAAGCGACGCCGCGUGUGGGAAGAAGGCCUUCGGGUUGUGAACCACUGUCGGGAGUUAAGAAAUGCAAGGGUGU
This 107-nucleotide ribosomal RNA is filed under the name uncultured Planctomycetota bacterium. RNAcentral's name for it is "uncultured planctomycete partial 16S ribosomal RNA". It matches the Rfam family "Bacterial small subunit ribosomal RNA", at positions 355 to 461 of the family's 1533-position model. Lineage: Bacteria; Pseudomonadati; Planctomycetota. The record is from RNAcentral.